RNAcentral lists this ribosomal RNA (1036 nucleotides) under fungal endophyte. RNAcentral describes it as "eukaryotic LSU rRNA". The stretch from base 462 to 1036 matches the Rfam family "Eukaryotic large subunit ribosomal RNA", at positions 1 to 582 of the family's 3401-position model. The record is from RNAcentral. Lineage: Eukaryota; Fungi.
GUGACCCCGGUCUAACCACCGGGAUGUUCAUAACCCUUUGUUGUCCGACUCUGUUGCCUCCGGGGCGACCCUGCCUUCGGGCGGGGGCUCCGGGUGGACACUUCAAACUCUUGCGUAACUUUGCAGUCUGAGUAAACUUAAUUAAUAAAUUAAAACUUUUAACAACGGAUCUCUUGGUUCUGGCAUCGAUGAAGAACGCAGCGAAAUGCGAUAAGUAAUGUGAAUUGCAGAAUUCAGUGAAUCAUCGAAUCUUUGAACGCACAUUGCGCCCCCUGGUAUUCCGGGGGGCAUGCCUGUUCGAGCGUCAUUUCACCACUCAAGCCUCGCUUGGUAUUGGGCAACGCGGUCCGCCGCGUGCCUCAAAUCGACCGGCUGGGUCUUCUGUCCCCUAAGCGUUGUGGAAACUAUUCGCUAAAGGGUGUUCGGGAGGCUACGCCGUAAAACAACCCCAUUUCUAAGGUUGACCUCGGAUCAGGUAGGGAUACCCGCUGAACUUAAGCAUAUCAAUAAGCGGAGGAAAAGAAACCAACAGGGAUUGCUCUAGUAACGGCGAGUGAAGCAGCAAUAGCUCAAAUUUGAAAUCUGGCGUCUUCGACGUCCGAGUUGUAAUUUGUAGAGGAUGCUUCUGAGUAACCACCGACCUAAGUUCCUUGGAACAGGACGUCAUAGAGGGUGAGAAUCCCGUAUGCGGUCGGAAAGGUGCUCUAUACGUAGCUCCUUCGACGAGUCGAGUUGUUUGGGAAUGCAGCUCUAAAUGGGAGGUAAAUUUCUUCUAAAGCUAAAUAUUGGCCAGAGACCGAUAGCGCACAAGUAGAGUGAUCGAAAGAUGAAAAGCACUUUGGAAAGAGAGUUAAAAAGCACGUGAAAUUGUUAAAAGGGAAGGGAUUGCAACCAGACUUGCUCGCGGUGUUCCGCCGGUCUUCUGACCGGUCUACUCGCCGCGUUGCAGGCCAGCAUCGUCUGGUGCCGCUGGAUAAGACUUGAGGAAUGUAGCUCCCUCGGGAGUGUUAUAGCCUCUUGUGAUGCAGCGAGCGCC